RNAcentral lists this ribosomal RNA (477 nucleotides) under uncultured bacterium. Its description in RNAcentral is "partial 16S ribosomal RNA". It matches the Rfam family "Bacterial small subunit ribosomal RNA", at positions 30 to 507 of the family's 1533-position model. The record is from RNAcentral.
AUUGAACGCUGGCGGCAUACCUUACACAUGCAAGUCGAACGGUAACAGGUUAAGCUGACGAGUGGCGAACGGGUGAGUAAUGUAUCGGAACGUGCCCAGUCGUGGGGGAUAACUGCUCGAAAGAGCAGCUAAUACCGCAUACGACCUGAGGGUGAAAGCGGGGGAUCGCAAGACCUCGCGCGAUUGGAGCGGCCGAUAUCAGAUUAGGUAGUUGGUGAGGUAAAGGCUCACCAAGCCGACGAUCUGUAGCUGGUCUGAGAGGACGACCAGCCACACUGGGACUGAGACACGGCCCAGACUCCUACGGGAGGCAGCAGUGGGGAAUUUUGGACAAUGGGCGCAAGCCUGAUCCAGCCAUGCCGCGUGCGGGAAGAAGGCCUUCGGGUUGUAAACCGCUUUUGUCAGGGAAGAAAAGGUUCUGGCUAAUACCUGGGACUCAUGACGGUACCUGAAGAAUAAGCACCGGCUAACUACGUG